CAUAAUUUGGUUGCAACAUAAUCAGCAGAUAUGAAACUCGGGACGGUCUUAAUUCUAUUGGCUGUGUGCGUCGCAACAGUGUAUUGCUGUUCCACCGACGCAGAUUGCGCAGGUACCUUGACCUGUAGCACCGGUGAAGAAGAAUAUUGUCAUGGCAACCACUGUCACUGCGCUGAGUUCAAGACUUGUGCAGACGACAGCGACUGUCACGGUCAUUGUAACGCCGGCGGAUCACCAACGUGCGACGCAAACAACCAUUGUCAUUGUAACUAACGAACGGUUUUUGACACUGUAAUGUAAAGGAAACACUGUGGAUAUAGUCAGAGAAUUAAAUAUUAUUUGUUUUGUGUUUUUUUCUGAAAAUGAAUGCCGAAAACUUUUAA
Molecule: long non-coding RNA, 383 nt
Organism: Mercenaria mercenaria
Lineage: Eukaryota; Metazoa; Mollusca; Bivalvia; Venerida; Veneridae
Exons: 3
Source: RefSeq, a predicted model, not a curated record